This is a long non-coding RNA of Hypanus sabinus (Atlantic stingray), 6389 nucleotides long. RefSeq lists it as uncharacterized. The record is from RefSeq and is a predicted model, not a curated record. Lineage: Eukaryota; Metazoa; Chordata; Chondrichthyes; Myliobatiformes; Dasyatidae. The transcript is spliced from 3 exons.
UACAACUCUGAGAUUCAUUUUCUUUUAGGCAUACUCAGCAAAUCUGUAGAAUAGUAACAAUAACAGGAUCAAUGAAAGAUCGGUCAGAGUGUAGAAGACAAUAAACUGUGCCAAUGCAAAUAUAAAUAAAUAGCAAUAAAUAACAAAAACAUGAAAUAAUGAGAUAAAGAGUCCUUAUAGUGAGAUAAUUGUUUGUAGGAACAUUUCAAUGACAGGCAAGUGAGUGUCGUUAACACCUUCUAUGCAAGAGCCUAAUGGUUGAGGGUAGUAACUAUUCUUAAACCUGGUGAUGUCCAAGUGCUGAGGCUCCUGCACCUUCUACCUGAUGGUGGCAGCGAGAAGAGAGCAUGGCCUGGGUGGUGGGGAUCUUUAAUGAUAAAUGCUGCCUUCCCAUGACAGUAUUUUACGUGGAUGUGCUCAGAGGUUGGUAGGGCUUUACCCGUGAUGAACGGGGUCGAUUCCAUUACCUUUUGUAAGCUUUUCCAUUCAAAGCCAUUGGCCCAAGCAGUGAUGCAGCCAGACAAUAUACUCUCCACUACACAUCUAUAGAAGUUUGUCAAAGUUUUCUGCAGGCUCCUAAGGAGGUAAAGGUGCUGCCAAGCUUUCUUCGCAAUUAUAUUUACGUGCUGGGUCCAGGACAGAUCCUCUGAAAUAGUAACACCCAGGAAUCUGAAGUUGCUGACCCUCUCCACCUCUGAUCCUCUGAUGAGGACUGGCUCAUGGACCCCUGCUUUCCCUCUCCUGAAGUCUACAAUCAGUUCCUUGGUCUUGCUGACAUUGACUGAGAGGUUGUUGCUAUCACAACAUUCAGCCAAGUUUUCAGUCUCCCUCCUGUAUGCUGAUUCAUCAUCACCUUUGAUUUGGCCCACAACAGUGAUGUUAUCAGAAAACUUGAAUAUGGCAUUGGAGCUACACUUAGUCACACAUCAUAGGUGUAAAGUGAGCAGAGCAGGGACUAAGCAUACAGCCUUGUAGUUGGAGGGGGUAUUAUUCCCAAACUGAACUGACUGGGGUUUGCAAGUAAGAAAAUCUAGGUUCCAAUUGCACAAGGAGGUACUGAGGCCCAGGUCUUGGAGCUUAUUGAUUAAUUUUGAGGGGAUGAUGGCAUUGAAAGCUGAGGUGUAGUCCGUAAAGAGCAUUCUGACAUAUGCUUCAGGAUUUGUGUUAUACAGCACCUCUCAUGAUCUCAAGCCAUUCCAAACUGCUUCAUGCCCAAUCAAUUAAUUUUUUAAAAGUCUGCUCUCUGCAAGAUUCAAAUGUCAGGAACAUUUGAACUGUGGUUGUGGCUGAGGCAGACACAGGGUGGUGGGAUGUAGUCUUUAAGAGGCCACAUAGUUAGGAAACUAGUUUGAGGUCGAUAAAGUACUGAGCUUGCAAAACAUCUGUUUUAGGUUUAAGCAUUUGCCAGAGAAACAAAAUGUGAGCAGCUAGGGGUGAAAUUUUCUGCUGGGAUAUAAGGCACUGACAGUAUCUUAUUCUAUAUCUAAUCAAAGAAAAUGUUUUCUCAACAUUAAUGGAUGUCUGCGGAGGUGGACCUGGGUGUGUUAGUGUUCCUGUGGAACUUGGCAUGCUUCCGUUUGAGGAUGACAAGUAAACUCGUACAGAUAAAGAAUGGGAAGCAAUCCAAGGCUUUACUCUUGGAAUACCAAAACCAUUAGCCACAAAUCAUGUGAGGCAAGUGAAAUUAUGCAUAUGGGAAGACAAUACAGCAUAAUUAAUCAUGACAAUAAUCCAUUCCCAUACCUGACCCCAAACUAGUGAGGCAGUUUAUCAAAGCGGUGAGUUUGAUGCCUCAGGCUGACUGAGAAUGGGAUGUAUUUGCAAGCCCUGAACUCCAGUGACUGGAGAUUAAUCUGGCAUCCCUAUGUGUAUGUAGAGUGAAGAGCACAAUGUGGUGUGUCAAUGCCUUGAAGUACUUGGCCAAGGACUUUUCUACAGGAAUGUGGGCUGCCACACCUUCACAACUAUUGGAGGUGGUCAUGAUGGUGCUCCCAGAGAUUGUCCAUAUGGUCAAGGGGUGAUAGUCACACAACUGGCCUGGGUAUUCCGCUGCAGAGAGGCAUCUUCUCAAUCACUGAAGUUAAAGAGACGGUGUGGGCAUUUCUUUGUGGCAAACAUAAUGUACCAAAACACUCUGCUCCAGCAAAUCCAUGUACACACUCCACCCCUGCUGUGUGAGCAGCUCCUACCACUGCUACCAACAUCCCUGCCAGAUAUUUCAAUCAGUGACUUCAACUGAUACAUUGAUGCAGAUGGACAUUCGACCAGUGUUAUCAGGAGACUGGACAACAGCUCCAGGCUGCUAUUGGAAUCAGCUAAAGAUGCAAAGUUGUCCAACAUCUUCAGCACCUACGCACUUGGACUGGACUAGGUAAUUCUCUAUAGUCUUAGAUAGUCUUACUCAUCAUAUCAAAGGAGGUUACGUUCAGAUCCACCGACAUUAUACUGGUGUUCUUCUCUGACCACUGCUUCCUGUAACCUAUGGAAGGACCAGAAGUCAAGCAGGGGGACAAGCUGCUGACUCCAGAGAAUGUGGAGGAACUAAAGGGGGGGGGGGGGGUUACAUGGGUUGGAAAACCAGGAAGCCCCUCCUUAAUUCUCUGUCUCAUUGAUGGGGAACAGCCAAGGAGAACAUCGAGAAGUUCUUCACCCUCAAAGGUGCUCGUGAAAUACUGCAAAGUCAGAGGGAGUUGUGCUAAUACCAGACAGACUUGUAGCAAUUUCUCCUUCUGCAGUCGAUAGAAGUUGAUGUGAGAGAGGAGUUCUCGGAGGUGAAGAGUCUGCAAGGUGCAUUCCCUGCUCAAGGAUCCACCAAGGUCAUCUACCAAUUUCUGAGUCCACUUCGUGGAGCCGGACAAGAAGUUCUCACGUUUUGUCUUCUGAACGGUCCGCAGGGGGAGACGUGUGAUCCACAGCCUCAAGGAAGAGAAUGGCUGGCAGGCAGACGUAAUGAGGAUCUGCAGAUCCUUUAUGCUGGUCUGUAUGACAGUAAGACACCACCUUCUGCCCAGAUUCAUGAUUAAUUAGCACGCUUUCUAUUUUUAUCUGGGGGUAACCAACUUGAGUUUGCGUAUGGCCCAGAGUCAGUGGAAGAGUCAGUCCAUGACUUCAGUAAUCAACUUGACUGAUCUAAUGCCCUCUUUGCUCUUUGCUCUUUGGUCAAGGUAUCUGGAAAUGCUGGAUCUGGUUCAGAGGGGCUAAUGUUAUGUCACCUCUUUCUAAGGAUUUGAUUUCAUUUUUACCAAUAGAGUCUCCUAUCACUACUGCUCCGAUUACAUCUGUAAUAUAUGAAUCUGUCAUUACGUCCCCAAUGCCAAUUAGAUCAGUGUCCAAAGAAUAGGAUUUGCUUUACACAGUCAACAAAUUGACUUGUCAUUUAUCUAAUAUAUUUGCCCAUUUAUUUUCUAUGACUUUUUGCAAUGGAAAUUAAAUUAGAGUUGAAAAUACACAUUGUGCUUUGAAGGGAGGAUAUCUCGGAUCUUUGUGAACAGUAUGUUCCAUCUGCUUAACUGCUCUGAUUGAAAUGUUAGCAAGCAACUAAGAUUCUAAAACAGAAAUUGUAACAGUGAGCAAUCAGUUCAUUGUCAAAUCACACAUGGAAAUCAAAAUAAAGUGGGAGAGGGAAAAGAAAACUGAUUAAGGGAGAGACAAAACAGAUAGAUAAAGUACAUUUUGUAUCAAAACAGAAGUUCCAACAAUUAAAAUCUGAUGAUUGAAAACUCCAUUCUUGAGAAACUGAAUUUUCAGAACCAAAAAGAUCGUCAUGAGUUAACAAUAUUAGUACCAUGGAGAAAUACCCAUUUUAUUGAAAUGCACAAACACCCUGUAGCUAUACCAAUCUUAUGGACUAGUCUAUAUGUCCGAUGUCAUUGUAGGAAUUUCAUCUCAUUCAAUUUUUGCAAAGUUGGCAAAUACAAGUCAAAGAAAAACAAAUAGCACCAAUUAUGGACCAAGAAGAUAACAUACAUCUGGAGUCAGAGAAUGCACUUAUAUUAACUGUCUUCAAAGAGAAUGGGUUGAUUCUAAUGUUUGGCCAAGAAAAUGCAGUUCAAUUUAUAAGUUGACAGAGGUGCUAUUGGAAGAAGUACAAAGCCAAGUAGGGAGUGUAGAUAGGCUGGAGUAUUUCCAUUGAAACGAUUUAAGCAAAUUGUGGCAUAUUUAGGUCACAUAGAUAUUGGACAGAUGGGAUUUAUCAGCCAUGGUUGGCAGCUCACCAAGGAGAGGGGAACUCUAAACUCAAACCUCCAUUGCCUUAUGGCUACAUCUACUCACGGGGAAGACUUCAGAAAUAAACCCUGAGGGAAAAAUCUGGACCUGGAGUUCCUAAGGCAGGCUUACAUUUACCGGUAGUUCAAUGCUGACUGGAAACUCCUGCAAUGCUGCUGGUACCAAACUGUAUCGGUCUCUGCUGUCCCUUUGGGUUCAUCAUUUGCGUGGAGAAGGGGAGCUUGCUACAUGGGCAACAGCUUGCUCUCCACAUCAUACUGUCCCGGCUUGCUUAUCUAGACAGCUAGGCCACAAUAUCCAUGGUCAACUCUGACUAAUGGAGGCCUCAGACUCAGAUAUACAAGAUAAAACUGAAAACAGAAAAUGUUGGAAAUUCUCAGCAAGUAAAGCAGUAUCUGUGGGAAGGAAAACAGUGUUAAUGCUUUAGGCUUUUAACUUUUUAUCUGAGCUUUGACCUUCUGAGUCUUUCCAGCAAUUUUUAUUUUAUUUCAGAUUUCCAUCUUCUGUGGUGACUUUGCUCCCCACUUGACCCGAAACAGGAGUGUGUGGGCCAUGACAGUCAAAGCUCAAACUGGAAACGGCACCUGAUGAUGAUGAUAAUCUUGGCUUAGCCUCCAUCUUAUAUCUUUGUUGCAUUCCAUCUUUAGAUGGGCCAUAACCUGAAAGCCCACUAUGGGAGGGAGAAAUUCAAGGAGCCAGUACCACAUACCGGUCGUCCAGUGUUUCUAAACAAGAGAAAAAUGUGCAGAUGCCGGAAGUCUGUGCAACACACACAAAAUGCUGGAGGAACUCAGCAGGCCAGGCAGCAUCUAUGGAAAAACGUACAGUCGAUGUUUUGGGCCGAGACCCUUCAGCAGACUGGAGAAAAAAACUCCAGUGUACUGUAACUUGAGUUUGUCAUUCCUGAAUCUAGUAGUUCUCUUUCAAACCUUCCAGCUCUGAACAGAUUCAUAGCUGAUCUAUAGCUAUGGUCUUUAGUAAGAUGCUGUUCUCCACACUUUGUUAUCACCCUGGACCUCAAGUGGCUCAGCUGACUUACUGCUGUUGAUCAGAUGUACGAUAUGAAUCAGGAAUACUGCUGAGCUGAUGUGAGUUUCACUGCUUCGUUAAAAUUUCUCUGAUAGCUUUUCACCCAUGAAGAGUUUUAUGUUAUACUUAAAGGUCAGUGGUGUGAUUUAUGGUCAGGUUCUUUGUAUGCCCUGCUAUCAUGACAAAACAAACAAUGUACUACAAGUGGUGGAGUCAAAGCAAGUAUGAGUGCAGAGAACACUGAGAAUGGACAAACAUGGCUGUUGUCGGCCAGCGGCCGUCAGUAGUUUUGAGGUCACCAUUUCUGAGAGCAACAAUAGAAAAGGAUGCAGAUUCUUAACAAGCUGAACUUUCAGAACCUCCCACAGAGGAAUUUGAACACAUUUGUCCAGAUAGUUAGUCCAGGGUUCUUUUGAAGACCCUGAUCUGGAGUUACAGGUUGACUUCGGUUCUUUGUAGGAAUGGGAGCAGCUCUCAGGGCCUCACAACCGGCCGUUUUUUGACAUGCCAAGGACGCGGUCUAGAAGACUAGUGUGUCUUCUGGAUGCCAGAUUUUCGUGGCGCUGGAGGUGGGCGGAUUCGAUGGGGGGGGGGGGGGGGUCGGUGCUGCCGCUGAAAACUGGUGUGUCGUGGGAGAUGGAAGAUCAUAAGCAGUGAGCUGGCUGUUGGCUGUGUGCCCAGAGACCCAAGAUCUUUGGGCACAGAGCUUGGAAACAACAAGGCAACAGACUUUUAACACCACAAAGUAGCGAGUUGCUUUAUUAUGUCUCCCCUCUCGCUGUGAAACAGGGACACCUCUUUUUCCCUUAUUAGGGAGAGAGAGAGGGAGCCUGUGGGAAGUCGAAUGACCCGGUGAACGAGUAGUCUUUGGGGUACUGCCUUUAUUGAUGCUUUGCUGCAUGCUUGAGUGCUUGGUGAGGGGUGCAGAUGUUUUUUUGCUGGUGGGGAAGGGGGGAUCGUUGCUUUGCUGAUGUUUAUGCAUGGGUCAGAGGACCUCGGGGGGCUUCGGGUUUCUAACAGUUAACUGUCAGUCAUUCUCUGGGGCACUCCUCUGUUUUCAUGGACGUUUGCAAAGAAGAAGAAUUUCAGGAUGUAUAUUGUAUACAUUUCUCUGACAUUAAAUGUACUGUUGA